RNAcentral lists this ribosomal RNA (416 nucleotides) under Yersinia enterocolitica subsp. palearctica YE-149. RNAcentral's name for it is "bacterial SSU rRNA". It matches the Rfam family "Bacterial small subunit ribosomal RNA", at positions 1 to 413 of the family's 1533-position model. The record is from RNAcentral. Lineage: Bacteria; Pseudomonadati; Pseudomonadota; Gammaproteobacteria; Enterobacterales; Yersiniaceae.
AAAUUGAAGAGUUUGAUCAUGGCUCAGAUUGAACGCUGGCGGCAGGCCUAACACAUGCAAGUCGAGCGGCAGCGGGAAGUAGUUUACUACUUUGCCGGCGAGCGGCGGACGGGUGAGUAAUGUCUGGGAAACUGCCUGAUGGAGGGGGAUAACUACUGGAAACGGUAGCUAAUACCGCAUAACGUCUUCGGACCAAAGUGGGGGACCUUCGGGCCUCACGCCAUCGGAUGUGCCCAGAUGGGAUUAGCUAGUAGGUGGGGUAAUGGCUCACCUAGGCGACGAUCCCUAGCUGGUCUGAGAGGAUGACCAGCCACACUGGAACUGAGACACGGUCCAGACUCCUACGGGAGGCAGCAGUGGGGAAUAUUGCACAAUGGGCGCAAGCCUGAUGCAGCCAUGCCGCGUGUGUGAAGAAG